This 253-nucleotide ribosomal RNA is filed under the name uncultured bacterium. Its description in RNAcentral is "partial 16S ribosomal RNA". It matches the Rfam family "Bacterial small subunit ribosomal RNA", at positions 524 to 776 of the family's 1533-position model. The record is from RNAcentral.
UACGGGGGGGGCAAGCGUUGUUCGGAAUUACUGGGCGUAAAGGGCUCGUAGGUGGCCAACUAAGUCAGACGUGAAAUCCCUCGGCUUAACCGGGGAACUGCGUCUGAUACUGGAUGGCUAGAGAUUGGGAGAGGGAUGCGGAAUUCCAGGUGUAGCGGUGAAAUGCGUAGAGAUCAGGAAGAACACCGGUGGCGAAAGCGCUCUGCUAGGCCGCAACUGACACUGAGGGACGAAAGCUAGGGGAGCGAAUGGG